Molecule: non-coding RNA, 153 nt
Filed under: Lotharella globosa
Lineage: Eukaryota; Cercozoa; Chlorarachniophyceae
Source: RNAcentral
CCAGGAGGCCAUGCUCGGAGCCUUUAUCGAGCGCUUAGAUCGGGUAAAAACGCCCAAACAAAAAACACAAAAACAAACAGUAAAACAAAACCAAAAAAGACAAAAAUCGAAGGAACUACAUGAGAUCCCAUUAUUUUCCUUCUCGAAACCGUC